Molecule: ribosomal RNA, 85 nt
Filed under: Paenibacillus sp. BC26
Lineage: Bacteria; Bacillati; Bacillota; Bacilli; Caryophanales; Paenibacillaceae
Description: partial 23S rRNA. Bacterial LSU
Rfam family: Bacterial large subunit ribosomal RNA
Source: RNAcentral
GAAAGACGACCAGGUUGAUAGGUUCGAGGUGGAAGUGCAGCAAUGCAUGCAGCUGACGAAUACUAAUCGGUCGAGGGCUUAUCCU